CAUAGUGAUCCGGUGGUUCUGAAUGGAAGGGCCAUCGCUCAACGGAUAAAAGGUACUCCGGGGAUAACAGGCUGAUACCGCCCAAGAGUUCAUAUCGACGGCGGUGUUUGGCACCUCGAUGUCGGCUCAUCACAUCCUGGGGCUGAAGUAGGUCCCAAGGGUAUGGCUGUUCGCCAUUUAAAGUGGUACGCGAGCUGGGUUUAGAACGUCGUGAGACAGUUCGGUCCCUAUCUGCCGUGGGCGCUGGAGAACUGAGGGGGGCUGCUCCUAGUACGAGAGGACCGGAGUGGACGCAUCACUGGUGUUCGGGUUGUCAUGCCAAUGGCACUGCCCGGUAGCUAAAUGCGGAAGAGAUAAGUGCUGAAAGCAUCUAAGCACGAAACUUGCCCCGAGAUGAGUUCUCCCUGACCCUUUAAGGGUCCUGAAGGAACGUUGAAGACGACGACGUUGAUAGGCCGGGUGUGUAAGC
RNAcentral lists this ribosomal RNA (469 nucleotides) under Escherichia coli. RNAcentral's name for it is "partial 23S ribosomal RNA". It matches the Rfam family "Bacterial large subunit ribosomal RNA", at positions 2411 to 2874 of the family's 2925-position model. Lineage: Bacteria; Pseudomonadati; Pseudomonadota; Gammaproteobacteria; Enterobacterales; Enterobacteriaceae. The record is from RNAcentral.